This is a non-coding RNA of Cricetulus griseus (Chinese hamster), 634 nucleotides long. NCBI's taxonomy places the organism in Eukaryota, Metazoa, Chordata, Mammalia, Rodentia, Cricetidae. The record is from RefSeq and is a predicted model, not a curated record.
UAGAGGGGACCAGACCCCAUAAUUAUUUGGGGGUCGAGGGCAUGUCUGUGUUUUCUUGCAGGAGGAGAACGAGGUGCACUGGCUACCGGAAAGAUUGAUGAGAUGCAUGGAAACCGAGAAAAACGGGACCUGGGCCCACAGGAGACCGUCUGAAACAGCUGGAAGGAAACACUGGACCUGUGUUCCUGAACCUUGAGGACAUCCGACUAACAGCCGAGGGAGAAGGGAGACACACCCAGUUCCAGUUUCGAGAUGCUUUCCACAGUUCCAGCUUCCCUACAGUCGGAAUACAUUCACCUCUCUGAAUCCGAGAAGGUUUGCAGCCAUUAUAAGACCCCCAGAAGCUCAGGCCUCCAGAAUCUUUUCCCAGGACUGCGGCCACCCCAAUCAUCAUGAGGAGGCCGAAACUUGAUGCAAACAGCAAGAGGCUUUAAUGAAAGAGACUGGUUCCAGCCAAAGACGGGUACGGUUUUCCUUGCCUUCAGGGAAUCCUAAGACAGAACAUGCAUGAUGGAAUGCGUGAUUCCAUGACGGGCAUCCCUGGUAGGUUGAAGGGAACCUCUUAAAACAGGCACAGUCAUCUGUCCUGAUGCAGAAGCACAGGUUUCUUUUUAUUAAUUUAAGAGAGACAAAA